GAUUAGAGUUUGAUCCUGGCUCAGGAUGAACGCUGGCGGCGUGCCUAAUACAUGCAAGUCGAGCGAACAGACAAGGAGCUUGCUCCUUUGACGUUAGCGGCGGACGGGUGAGUAACACGUGGGUAACCUACCUAUAAGACUGGGAUAACUUCGGGAAACCGGAGCUAAUACCGGAUAAUAUUUCGAACCGCAUGGUUCGAUAGUGAAAGAUGGUUUUGCUAUCACUUAUAGAUGGACCCGCGCCGUAUUAGCUAGUUGGUAAGGUAACGGCUUACCAAGGCGACGAUACGUAGCCGACCUGAGAGGGUGAUCGGCCACACUGGAACUGAGACACGGUCCAGACUCCUACGGGAGGCAGCAGUAGGGAAUCUUCCGCAAUGGGCGAAAGCCUGACGGAGCAACGCCGCGUGAGUGAUGAAGGUCUUCGGAUCGUAAAACUCUGUUAUUAGGGAAGAACAUACGUGUAAGUAACUAUGCACGUCUUGACGGUACCUAAUCAGAAAGCCACGGCUAACUACGUGCCAGCAGCCGCGGUAAUACGUAGGUGGCAAGCGUUAUCCGGAAUUAUUGGGCGUAAAGCGCGCGUAGGCGGUUCUUUAAGUCUGAUGUGAAAGCCCACGGCUCAACCGUGGAGGGUCAUUGGAAACUGGAAAACUUGAGUGCAGAAGAGGAAAGUGGAAUUCCAUGUGUAGCGGUGAAAUGCGCAGAGAUAUGGAGGAACACCAGUGGCGAAGGCGACUUUCUGGUCUGUAACUGACGCUGUUGUGCGAAAGCGUGGGGAUCAAACAGGAUUAGAUACCCUGGUAGUCCACGCCGUAAACGAUGAGUGCUAAGUGUUAGGGGGUUUCCGCCCCUUAGUGCUGCAGCUAACGCAUUAAGCACUCCGCCUGGGGAGUACGACCGCAAGGUUGAAACUCAAAGGAAUUGACGGGGACCCGCACAAGCGGUGGAGCAUGUGGUUUAAUUCGAAGCAACGCGAAGAACCUUACCAAAUCUUGACAUCCUUUGACAACUCUAGAGAUAGAGCUUUCCCCUUCGGGGGACAAAGUGACAGGUGGUGCAUGGUUGUCGUCAGCUCGUGUCGUGAGAUGUUGGGUUAAGUCCCGCAACGAGCGCAACCCUUAAGCUUAGUUGCCAUCAUUAAGUUGGGCACUCUAAGUUGACUGCCGGUGACAAACCGGAGGAAGGUGGGGAUGACGUCAAAUCAUCAUGCCCCUUAUGAUUUGGGCUACACACGUGCUACAAUGGACAAUACAAAGGGCAGCGAAACCGCGAGGUCAAGCAAAUCCCAUAAAGUUGUUCUCAGUUCGGAUUGUAGUCUGCAACUCGACUACAUGAAGCUGGAAUCGCUAGUAAUCGUAGAUCAGCAUGCUACGGUGAAUACGUUCCCGGGUCUUGUACACACCGCCCGUCACACCACGAGAGUUUGUAACACCCGAAGCCGGUGGAGUAACCAUUUGGAGCUAGCCGUCGAAGGUGGGACAAAUGAUUGGGGUGAAGUCGUAACAAGGUAACCGAAU
RNAcentral lists this ribosomal RNA (1520 nucleotides) under Staphylococcus haemolyticus. RNAcentral describes it as "bacterial SSU rRNA". It matches the Rfam family "Bacterial small subunit ribosomal RNA". Lineage: Bacteria; Bacillati; Bacillota; Bacilli; Caryophanales; Staphylococcaceae. The record is from RNAcentral.